This 895-nucleotide ribosomal RNA is filed under the name Pratylenchus penetrans. RNAcentral describes it as "SSU rRNA". It matches the Rfam family "Eukaryotic small subunit ribosomal RNA", at positions 30 to 926 of the family's 1831-position model. Lineage: Eukaryota; Metazoa; Nematoda; Chromadorea; Rhabditida; Pratylenchidae. The record is from RNAcentral.
GCUUGUCUCAAAGAUUAAGCCAUGCAUGUAUAAGUAUAAACGCUUUAAGCGUGAAACCGCGAACGGCUCAUUACAACAGCUAUAAUUUACUUGAUCUUGACAAACUUACAUGGAUAACUGAGGUAAUUCUUGAGCUAAUACAUGCACCAAAGCUUUGACCGUAAGGGAAGAGCGCAUUUAUUGGAACAAAACCAAACGGCUUCGGCUGUUCCCAGUUGAAUCAGAAUAACUCAGCUGAUCGUACGGUCUUGCACCGACGACGUGUCUUUCAAGUAUCUGCUUUAUCAACUUUCGAUGGUAGGGUAUCUGCCUACCAUGGUGGUGACGGAUAACGGAGGAUCAGGGUUCGACUCCGGAGAAGGGGCCUGAGAAAUGGCCACUACGUCUAAGGAUGGCAGCAGGCGCGCAAAUUACCCACUCUCAGAAUUUGGAGGAGGUAGUGACGAGAAAUAACGAGGUUGAUCUCUUCUGAGGCCAACCAUCGGAAUGGGUACAAUUUAAACCCUUUAACGAGUAUCUAUGAGAGGGCAAGUCUGGUGCCAGCAGCCGCGGUAAUUCCAGCUCUCAAAAUGCAUAGAAUUAUUGCUGCGGUUAAAAAGCUCGUAGUUGGGUCUGCAGCCGGAGCUCCGGUCCAUCUUCGGAUGUGUACUGGAUGUCUUCGGCUUUCUGACAGUGUUCGGCUCUGUGCCUCUCAACAGGUGUGGAUGUCCGAUACUGUAAGUUUACUUUGAAUAAAUCAGAGUGCUCUAAACAGGCGUUUUGCUUGAAUGAUUGUGCAUGGAAUAAUAGAAGAGGAUUUCGGUUCUAUUUUAUUGGUUUUAUAGACUGAGAUAAUGGUUAACAGAGACAAACGGGGGCAUUUGUAUGGCUACGUGAGAGGUGAAAUUCUUGGACC